CUUCUGAGUCUGACGGGCUGGUGGAGUGUGAGCGUGGCUCCUAAAUUUCUUGGGUAGGACUGAAGAAGCACUUUUAAGAUGUGGAAACUCAGAGAGGAUGCCACUGUUUUGAACUAUUUUGAAGGCACAGCCACCAGAGCUUUAGGGACAGGGUAUUUUAUCACAGCAACAGAAAUGAAACCAAAACAACUCCACAAUAAAAUUCUUGAGUUUCUUGGGGCCAAGAAGAUGACACGAUAAGAUAAAGACACUGGCCAAGCAUGACCUCCAGAGUUUGGCCCUUGCAUAAAGGAGAAAAUUAAUUCCUUCAGUUGUUCUCUGACCUCCACAUGCGUCCUGUAACAUGGGUGUAUGCAUACACAUAAACACACAUCCACACGUUGUUAAAUAAAUAAAAAAAAUAUGUUAACAGUUAAAAA
This 419-nucleotide long non-coding RNA is filed under the name Mus musculus (house mouse). RNAcentral describes it as "predicted gene, 19705 (Gm19705)". The record is from RNAcentral. Lineage: Eukaryota; Metazoa; Chordata; Mammalia; Rodentia; Muridae.